GCGACUUGUACUGUGAAACUGCGAAUGGCUCAUUAAAUCAGUUAUGGUUUCUUUGAUGGUACCUUGCUACUUGGAUACCCGUAGUAAUUCUAGAGCUAAUACAUGCGGGAGUGCCCGACUUCGGAAGGGCUGUAUUUAUUAAAUAAGAAACCUUCUCGGGUUCGCCCGGUUGUGUGCUGAGUCAUAAUAACUGCUCGAAUCGCACGGCUCUACGCCGGCGAUGGUUCAUUCAAAUUUCUGCCCUAUCAGCUUUCGAUGGUAGGAUAGAGGCCUACCAUGGCGUUAACGGGUAACGGAGAAUUAGGGUUCGAUUCCGGAGAGGGAGCCUGAGAAAUGGCUACCACAUCCAAGGAAGGCAGCAGGCGCGUAAAUUGCCCGAAUCCUGACACAGGGAGGUAGUGACAAGAAAUAACAAUACAGGGCUACUUCUAGUCUUGUAAUUGGAAUGAGUACAACUUACAUCUCUUCACGAGGAUCAACUGGAGGGCAAGUCUGGUGCCAGCAGCCGCGGUAAUUCCAGCUCCAGAAGCGUAUAUUAAAGUUGUUGCAGUUAAAACGCUCGUAGUCGGGUUUCGGGUCGGGCCGAGCGGUCUGCCGAUGGGUAUGCACUGU
This 612-nucleotide ribosomal RNA is filed under the name uncultured marine Phaeocystaceae. RNAcentral describes it as "SSU rRNA". It matches the Rfam family "Eukaryotic small subunit ribosomal RNA", at positions 69 to 680 of the family's 1831-position model. The record is from RNAcentral. Lineage: Eukaryota; Haptophyta; Phaeocystales; Phaeocystaceae.